CAAAAAAUAGCUUAUUACUCAUAGCAAUAGCAAUGGCUGGAGUAUCACCAUUUUUGCACUAAUUUCUGCGCCCCAAAUCAUAUGGGACAAUGUGAAGAAGGGCAGAUGACACCCGCAUGUGCACUAAGGUGUAUUACAAAUGAAGAACCCUGAGCUUAGGGAGCCCAAAUCUUUUAUAAUGGGCAGUAAGUCUGGCUGCCUUAGCGCCAGUGGGAGACAUUGUUUUUAUGAUACUGGACAGUAAUCAAACCUGCCCUUUCCUCUGGAGGGAACGCAAUUUUUCUCUUCCAAGGCUGUUUGCUAAAUUAAUAUCCUUGAAAAGAUAUUCCAGAACAAAAGGAAUCUGUGUCUCUGUUGGUAAGAGACACAGAUAUGCAGGAGACUUAUGGAGAAUUGUCUCCUAACACCACCAGAAAUAUUUAGUCAGCAUUUGGUUUGAAAGGGGCACAUGGCACAGUGCUCAGGAAAAUCAUCUGGUCUUCAAUCCUGUAAUGGCCAAACAGAACAUAAAGACAUGUCAAACGUAUGGACUUUUCCACAUCACCUUUCCUGGAAAGCACUUGUUUCCUAUUCAGGGGUCACGGACACAUUUGGCAGCAGAGAGCGGAGAGCGAUGCCACUGGACUUGUGUCUGCAUCACUUGCUGCCUGGGAACUGUUCUGCCAACCUGCCUUCUGGGCUCCCGCAGAAGGAUCUAACAUUUUUGAGUAAUUAUGAAAAUAUGGCUGUUGAAUCUAAGAGUCAAGACGGUAACUGAUUCCCAGCUGUAAUCUAGUAUAAUGCCAGGGAAAUCAGAUGGGAUCCUGGCUGGUUUCCACUUCCUGAGGCUUUUUAUUCUGAGUUUAUUUUUAAGACUAAUUAUCCUCACCUACAUAAACUUCCUGGAUUCCAGAAUACGUAAUUGGCUGGUCAAGUGUCUCUGCUAUCCAGAUGAGAGUUACCUAUCACGCAUCCUCAAAGGGACCCAAAAUUUGGACCAGAUGCCACCCAUUCAGAUGUGACAAGAGGAACAGAAGCGUUAAAUUGUGGCAGUAUUGGCCAACAUGUGUAGCUCAUUGUUGCAAACAAGUGCUCAGCCAAUGGAGUGGCAUAUUGUCAUUGUGACCCAUAACUGUUGGAAGAGUUCCAGAAAUGACAUAAGGAAUUAUGCAUUAAUACAGAGCAGGUGGCAGGUAGGUACCCAAGAAGAAGAUCAUAGCUGGGUGCUGGCAACAUGAAGAUCUUUGAGGACGUGACAAGAGCAGCCUCCGCAGUGUGAUAGGAAAUGAAACCUGAGCGCAGCGAGGGGGGCAGAGAUGUUGAAAUGAGAAAGUCAUGACAACCUCCACAGAUACCUCUUUCCAGAGGCUUUGCUGUGAAGACUGAAACAACUGGGAACUUAUGUGGGAUGAAGAGCUGCCUCCAGUGGUCUCGGCAGUGUCUCAAGUCUCCUGUCGGGUAGAUUCUUGCAGAAUGAGGCUGGAAGUGCCACUCAGAGGAUCUGAUUCUAACCUCUGCAUAAGCAAAAACCCAGGCCUUGUGUUCCUCAAUUGGAGCCUGGGCUCUCAUAUGCCACUUAUUUUUUCUUAAGUGGAGCAAAGAUUGUGUCAAUAAAAGCAAAGAACACUUGUUUCAUAUAUAUUUAAAGCUGACGAGUACUUUGUAUAUCACAUUAAGUAGGAAAUUGCUCCAG
Molecule: long non-coding RNA, 1672 nt
Filed under: Equus asinus (donkey)
Lineage: Eukaryota; Metazoa; Chordata; Mammalia; Perissodactyla; Equidae
Description: lncRNA (ENSEASG00005030312.1)
Source: RNAcentral